UGAAGCAUUUUCAACAGUUUCAGGCUCCAGCUCUUGUUUAAUGUGAUCCAUAUUUUCACAGACCUGUAUGGUUUCUUCUUCCAAAUUUUGUGCAAGAGGAGUCCGACAGCAGUUUAUCUGUUCGAAGACUAUUGCUUUAGGAAGGCUAGAAAAAUGCAAGGCCGCCUCUGAUGAUAAUAUCGAUGACAGGCGAAAUGGCUGUAACACUCAAAGCGGAAGAAUCUUGGAUUAGUCCGUUUCAAAUGGUCAAGUAUAGCCGCUAGAAAUAAGCUUGGUACUUGGAGAUAAGCGAUUCCAUUACCAUUUGCAAUGUGUGACCUAUGCAUGACCGACUAUACGGAAGCAGCAAUAACAAAAAGCAUAGUUCCAUGAUAUGACGAAAAAUAAAGAAUUAAAAAUUAUCGAUAUAGAUGUAGAAGAGAAUCAAUUUAGUGGAAGUCCACCACUCUGAAAGUCAGUGUGGAGUCCCAAUGGUUGCCGCCUUUCAGGCGAGGCCGCCCGGAUACUGCCAUCAGACGUGACCCCCCAUCUUCAGCGGCGGGUUCCGUCAUGGUUCAGAUGUCUUCGAUAGGGCUGCAAGUAUGAGCAUGGCUACUCUCUGCAAGAAAAGAGGGGAAACAAUUAAGAAAAACAAGAGCGCGAGGGACUGGGGGCCCAUCAGGUGCGUACGCGAGCGGGGCCUGUCCUGUCCGUGGGCCCAUUUGGAAGGCAGGGUCAUGUGCUCCAAAUGUUGGUACAAGAAGUCCUCGUGGCCUAUCUGGCGCUGGGUCACUAAAAUCAGCGGCCUUUCUUGGGCCGCUCGCUUUCCAAGCCCUACAUCAUGAUGGUUGUAUGGACGGUCCCGCAUGCAAGGUAUGUGAUUUCAUCAUUCAAAUUUUUCCUCUUGCAUUGUUGCAACCUAUACAUCCGGAUGGGGCUCCAAGCACGAAUCUAAGUGCUAUCGAGCAUGGUGUAGCAUGUAUCCAAUCAAUACAUUAUUUGGCACAUAGCACAGAUAUCAUAUUGGCUACAUGCUACCGGUCGACUUUGUUAAUCUCACCCAUCCCGCGUGCGAAACGCCUGCUAGUGGUGCUAAAAAAAAAGAGGAAAAAAAGGUGUGGAUUGUACUAUAUGGUGUGUGUUAUUAUCUAACCCUACCUAAAUCAAACCAAUUCUCUUCCGCCAUGUCAAGUAGUUAAAAGAGCAGCGAAGAGUGCGAGUGCUAAAUAGCUUUACUCGCAAUACUAUCUUGGCUGCUUCUGAGCUGCCACCAAUAAUUUUUGUUAUCUCGAUGGCCAUAUUGAGCCUUUAAAUAUCCUCUAUUGACUCACCCAGCCUAUAUCUUCAAGGACCCUCCAAAAUCCCAGCCCAAAUCCUAGACGGUGGGCCUAUUAGUCCAUAGGAUAAAAAAAAAAAAAA
Long non-coding RNA from Phoenix dactylifera (date palm), 1398 nucleotides. RefSeq lists it as uncharacterized. The record is from RefSeq and is a predicted model, not a curated record. NCBI's taxonomy places the organism in Eukaryota, Viridiplantae, Streptophyta, Magnoliopsida, Arecales, Arecaceae.